AAGUCGUAACAAGGUUUCCGUAGGUGAACCUGCGGAGGGAUCAUUACCGAGCUCAUGCCCUUACGGGUAGAUCUCCCACCCUGUGUUAUUAUUACCUUUGUUGCUUUGGCGGGCCGCCAGAUUUCGGUCAGGCUAUCGGCUUCGGCUGGUAAGCGCCCGCCAGAGGACCCCAAACCCUGAAUAUUAGUGUCGUCUGAGUACUAUAUAAUAGUUAAAACUUUCAACAACGGAUCUCUUGGUUCUG
RNAcentral lists this unclassified non-coding RNA (244 nucleotides) under Hyaloscyphaceae sp. Its description in RNAcentral is "partial contains small subunit ribosomal RNA, internal transcribed spacer 1, and 5.8S ribosomal RNA". The stretch from base 1 to 46 matches the Rfam family "Eukaryotic small subunit ribosomal RNA", at positions 1786 to 1831 of the family's 1831-position model. Lineage: Eukaryota; Fungi; Ascomycota; Leotiomycetes; Helotiales; Hyaloscyphaceae. The record is from RNAcentral.